Molecule: non-coding RNA, 21 nt
Filed under: Caenorhabditis elegans
Lineage: Eukaryota; Metazoa; Nematoda; Chromadorea; Rhabditida; Rhabditidae
Source: RNAcentral
UCGGGAAAACUUUCUUGGUUU